GAGGUAGCUCAGUGGUAGAGCGGCCGGCUGUAGACCGGCGGGUCGUGGGUUCAAUUCCCACCCUCCCGA
This 69-nucleotide transfer RNA is filed under the name Candidatus Marsarchaeota G2 archaeon OSP_D. RNAcentral's name for it is "tRNA-Tyr". It matches the Rfam family "tRNA". From Rfam's summary of the family: Transfer RNA (tRNA) molecules are approximately 80 nucleotides in length. Their secondary structure includes four short double-helical elements and three loops (D, anti-codon, and T loops). Further hydrogen bonds mediate the characteristic L-shaped molecular structure. tRNAs have two regions of fundamental functional importance: the anti-codon, which is responsible for specific mRNA codon recognition, and the 3' end, to which the tRNAs corresponding amino acid is attached (by aminoacyl-tRNA synthetases). tRNAs cope with the degeneracy of the genetic code in two manners: having more than one tRNA (with a specific anti-codon) for a particular amino acid; and 'wobble' base-pairing, i.e. permitting non-standard base-pairing at the 3rd anti-codon position. The record is from RNAcentral. RNAcentral also lists the same sequence under 1 other name. Lineage: Archaea; Thermoproteati; Thermoproteota.